Molecule: transfer RNA, 69 nt
Filed under: Urocitellus parryii (Arctic ground squirrel)
Lineage: Eukaryota; Metazoa; Chordata; Mammalia; Rodentia; Sciuridae
Also listed under: 2 other names
Description: Spermophilus parryii (Arctic ground squirrel) tRNA
Rfam family: tRNA
About the family: Transfer RNA (tRNA) molecules are approximately 80 nucleotides in length. Their secondary structure includes four short double-helical elements and three loops (D, anti-codon, and T loops).
Source: Rfam by way of RNAcentral
GGGGUUGUGGCUCAACGGUAGAGCACUCACCUAGCAUGUGCGAGGUCCUGGGUUCGAUCCUCAGCACCA